GACGAACGCUGGCGGCGUGCUUAACACAUGCAAGUCGAACGGAAAGGCCCUGCUUUUGUGGGGUGCUCGAGUGGCGAACGGGUGAGUAACACGUGAGUAACCUGCCCUUGACUUUGGGAUAACUUCAGGAAACUGGGGCUAAUACCGGAUAGGAGCUCCUGCUGCAUGGUGGGGGUUGGAAAGUUUCGGCGGUUGGGGAUGGACUCGCGGCUUAUCAGCUUGUUGGUGGGGUAGUGGCUUACCAAGGCUUUGACGGGUAGCCGGCCUGAGAGGGUGACCGGCCACAUUGGGACGGAGAUACGGCCCAGACCCCUACGGGAGGCAGCAGGGGGGAAUAUUGCAAAAUGGGCGGAAGCCUGAUGCAGCAACGCCGCGGGCGGGAUGACGGCCUUCGGGUUGUAACCCGUUUUCGCCUGUGACGAAGCGUGAGGGGCGGUAAUGGGUAAAGAAGCACCGGCUAACUACGU
Molecule: ribosomal RNA, 467 nt
Filed under: uncultured bacterium
Lineage: Bacteria
Description: partial 16S ribosomal RNA
Rfam family: Bacterial small subunit ribosomal RNA
Source: RNAcentral